This 373-nucleotide ribosomal RNA is filed under the name uncultured bacterium. RNAcentral's name for it is "bacterial SSU rRNA". It matches the Rfam family "Bacterial small subunit ribosomal RNA", at positions 523 to 898 of the family's 1533-position model. The record is from RNAcentral.
AUACGGAGGAUCCGAGCGUUAUCCGGAUUUAUUGGGUUUAAAGGGUGCGCAGGCGGGAGAUUAAGUCGGUGGUGAAAUUUUGCGGCUCAACCGUAACAGUGCCAUUGAUACUGGUUUCCUUGAGUGUGGAUGAAGUAGGCGGAAUUUGUGGUGUAGCGGUGAAAUGCAUAGAUAUCACGAGGAACUCCGAUCGCGUAGGCAGCUUACUAAACCAUAACUGACGCUCAUGCACGAAGGCGUGGGGAUCAAACAGGAUUAGAUACCCUGGUAGUCCACGCGGUAAACGAUGAUUACUGGCUGUUUGCGAUACACAGUAAGCGGCCCAGCGAAAGCGUUAAGUAAUCCACCUGGGGAGUACGUUCGCAAGAAUGAA